UGGGGAAUCUUGCGCAAUGGGGGAAACCCUGACGCAGCGACGCCGCGUGCGGGAUGAAGGCCUUCGGGUUGUAAACCGCUUUCAGCAGGGACGAGGCCUUAUGGUGACGGUACCUGCAGAAGAAGCCCCGGCUAACUACGUGCCAGCAGCCGCGGUAAUACGUAGGGGGCAAGCGUUAUCCGGAUUCAUUGGGCGUAAAGCGCGCGUAGGCGGUUUGUUAGGUCAGGAGUUAAAUCUGGGGGCUCAACCCCUAUCCGCUCCUGAUACCGGCAGGCUUGAGUCUGGUAGGAGAAGGCGGAAUUCCAAGUGUAGCGGUGAAAUGCGCAGAUAUUUGGAAGAACACCGGUGGCGAAGGCGGCCUUCUGGGCCACGACUGACGCUGAGGCGCGAAAGCUAGGGGAGCGAACAGG
This 410-nucleotide ribosomal RNA is filed under the name Verrucomicrobiota bacterium. RNAcentral describes it as "Verrucomicrobia bacterium partial 16S ribosomal RNA". It matches the Rfam family "Bacterial small subunit ribosomal RNA", at positions 355 to 776 of the family's 1533-position model. Lineage: Bacteria; Pseudomonadati; Verrucomicrobiota. The record is from RNAcentral.